GGAGGAGGACUGGCUCCUGAGGGAAGGAGGUAGCACCUUGUACAGAGCAGUGUUGGGCAGGCUUGGGGGAGCAGAGGAGAGCUCCAGCCCAGUUACUUGCCAGGCUGUGGCCCCUGCUAAAAAGGAUCAAGAAGGUGCACAGGCCAAAGGGGAAGUAACUUAGGGAUGAUAGGCAUACAAGAGGGGAGAAAAGGAGCAACAGAGGGAGGCUGCUGCUAGAGGAUCCCUGGGUUGGGACCCAGAGUAGCAGGAGGGCCUGGGUUCCCCACUCCCCCCCACCCCUUGCACUGCACCUGGCCAUGGAGGAGUGUGGCUGAGACUGAUUGCAACUUGCUCCUGAGGUGAGAGACUAGACUUCGGGGUUGUGCUUGGCCACUGAGGCAGGUGCAAGCUGAAGGACUGUUGUUACCCCACACCCCCAGAAGGGGAGUGAGAGUGGAGUAGUGGACACUGCUGGACACCACCGAGUGGGGAGCAAUGUGGUUCCCAAAUCAGCAGAGCAGACAAUGGGUGAGACACCAUGCGUGGAGGGCACUCCUCAGCUGACAAGAGCUAAUUCCUGGAGCAACCAGCAGGAAGUGCCAGUGGUGAUUCUCUGCUGGAGACUUCGAUGCAGGAACUGCAUUGAUGUAUAUAAACUGAUGAGCUGACCUCUACAAGACCUUUCCAUAAAGGGAGGAUUUGCCAUCUUGUGAAUAGUCAUCCCUGAGUUAUCUCUGAGCCUGAGCCUUUUAAAGCCUGAAACACGGGCAAUGAAAAUUCUCAAGCACUUGCAGUACGAGUAAGAACACUCCUGGACUAUGGCAGUAAAAAUGAUAUCUAGAUUGUGCAUGAAGAUCAACUUAGCAUGACAGGAGGCAUUGCCCCAGGCUCAGAUAUGCUUGUUUUCUGUAUAUGUUCAGUGAAAAGGAAGCCAAGUGUUCAAAUCCAUCCUUAGCCUAUUACUAAGUGUUCUUCGGCUAGGUCUUGUACUGUGCGGAUGGACUAAGAUGGAUUGCAAAAACCAAGUCCUUUUAUUCCCUGCAGUUGAAUGGCCCCCAGCUGUUUUCUUUCUUUCAAUAUGCUCUUCCUAAUACCUCUUUCCCACACUUAAAAAUCCCAACACCAGACCCAGUAGCUAUGAAACAUACCUCUGUGCUGGGUUCCAAUUGCAGCUGAUUUCAAAUCUUACCCAUUCUGGUAUGUUUAUCCUUGAGACUUAUGAAAUUGGAUUUCAGUGUUACUUCUGUGCCCAUCAGAAAAAAGGCCUCCUGUUAGCCUAACAGGCUUUUCAAAGGUAGAGGGGCCAUUGUGGGAUAGAAUUGGUGAUCGUGAGACCAGGAGUUGGGGCCUGUUGAGGGGUUGGGGGAGAAUGACAAGAGCCUUAUUUGAAAGUUGUAGGACGACAAGGUAGAAACUGUGGCCUUGCUGGGCGACAGAACACUGGAGUGUGUGUUAAAAGCACAGCCCUGCGAUAUGGAUUGUGUCACAUGUAAAGGGGUGCCACCCUAACAGUAUCUCCCAACAAUGCUGGUCUAGCCAGAAUGUAGAGGAAAGAGCUGAGGAUAUCCCCAUCUUCCCAGCUUGCAGCAGGAAGGCUAGCACCAUUGUCUUUGCUAGCCAGGAGGAGUCUUUCUAGGCCUUGGGCUCAAGAACUGCUAUAGUGCCUGGCCACAUGCAGAGGCGUGUAAUUGGGGGAAGAGGGAGACUUCUUGCACACCCAUGCACGCCCUGACACAAUCUGUACCAGAAAGAAGGUUGAGGAAUUCUUUUGUGAAUUGAUCCAAAUCUGAAAAAUGACUUGGGUUCAGUUUGUGGGAAAGCUAAUCUGAUUUCAUAUGGUUCUUAUUGUUCCUGAACCAGUCAGCCUAUUUGUACCCUUAAACCUGCAAUGAACCCAAGCAUCCUACAGAAAAUCCUACAUGACCUCAUAAGACUGCCUAAAAUCCACUCCCUCCAAGGGCUCCAUAUUCCCAAAGAUUGAGUUCAAAUCUCAACACAAAAAAUGACUACUUAAUUAUUUUUGAAUUAGCAACUGUUUGGAACCUCUUUUAGUACAAAUUCAAACUACUAAUGUUCAUUUCCUAGCCCUACCUGCAGAGAACUUCAGAUGAUGUGUUUCCAUUUAAUUUUCUCCUUUGAAAGCUGAGUACCUAUGGUUACCUGCAUGAUGGAGGUGAUAAUAUAUAUUCCCAGAAGUGAUAGCUGCAGUAAAGAACUAUACUUGCUGUGAAGAUCAAAGGAUCAGCUAUAUCAAAAAGUCACCAGAGCUGAGGAGAGCACUUUACUACUCAAAAUUCCUUGCUGAGGUAUCUGUGAGCUGUGGAGGAAUGAUGGGAAAAAAGCACUGUCCAUGCUGUGCUAGAGAAUCAGCAGGACAUUAAUUUGUUGUGUUUUAUUUGUAGGCUAGGAAAGUCCAAAUAAGCCUCAUGAAUUAUCAAUGGGAAAGGUUAUCACUAUAUAUAAAUGCACACAAUACUUGUUCACUCCAGUUCAAUGUGGACAUUGCUGCACUGCAGUUUAAAUCUUUACAUUAGUUUUCUCCCCCACCCCUAUUUUUCCUUUUUAUUUUUUGAUAUCUCAAAUGUAACAAGUAAUGGCCUGGCUUAAGUGAAAAAUUAUUUGGGUUUCCAACAGGGUGGACUAAUAUCAAACAGACAGCUCCAUCUAGUGGUAUAAUUAGACAUCAUUUUGAAUUUACACCAUUGUCUUGUUGCACAAGACACUCCUAGCAAGAAAUUAUUUUGGCUAAAAACAUUUGUCUUAACUGUGGUCACAACAGGUAGAAAACAUGAUUACUUAGUGAAUCAUAUGUUACUUGAAAUAGUAUAUACAAGAAACUAUAUAAAAGGUUUUUUUCAUCUAUACAUUCUUUUAAAAGCUGCUGAAGUUGUGUGAUGGUGAGAGCCAUAUAGACUGUAUCUGCUGUUUAACUUUAAGACUCUAUUUCCUCUUGUGUAGCCCUUUCCUCCAAGAAACAUAAUCAGAAGCUAGCACUAUGAACAGCACUAGAGCAGAAGAAGACGUAAUUCUCUAAAGAUUCAUAUGCAGUUAAACUAGGAAUAUUUUAGGGUGCUAUGUAUUGAUAGGAUUAAA
Mauremys mutica (yellowpond turtle) is the source of this 3075-nucleotide long non-coding RNA. RefSeq lists it as uncharacterized. The record is from RefSeq and is a predicted model, not a curated record. The transcript has 4 exons. Lineage: Eukaryota; Metazoa; Chordata; Testudines; Geoemydidae.